This 29-nucleotide non-coding RNA is filed under the name Rattus norvegicus (Norway rat). Lineage: Eukaryota; Metazoa; Chordata; Mammalia; Rodentia; Muridae. The record is from RNAcentral.
UAUUGACAUCUGCAGGUAUGCCAAGGAUA